Molecule: long non-coding RNA, 1749 nt
Filed under: Oryctolagus cuniculus (rabbit)
Lineage: Eukaryota; Metazoa; Chordata; Mammalia; Lagomorpha; Leporidae
Description: lncRNA (ENSOCUG00000032797.1)
Source: RNAcentral
CCCGGGCAGGUCAAUUCCCUCGGGCCAGAUGGAUUUUGUUUUCUGAUUUCCAUUCCAUCGCAAGAUUUUGGGAAAUGGAGAAAAAAGAAAACCAGUAACAAGCACCCAGGACACUGUGCCACACCCAGCUCCUGGCGAGACGUGGCUUCCGGGGGUUCCCACACCCGACGACCCCAGCACGCCCCGCACGACAGCCCACGAGUAGCCACCUGGCCUCGUCGGCAUGGCCACUUAACCCAGCGUCCACCCCAGGAGGAAGGGCCGAGCUUCCAGACUCCCCCGUGUCGCAGGCACCAGGUCGGCGCCCCAGCUUUGUGCACCAGCCUCUCCUCCGGCCCCCACAGCAGACACCAGAGCCUGGGCGCCAAGUGUGUCCCCUCAGCUCCCCCCGGGCUCACUGUCACAGGCCAUGCGGCAGAUGAGGGCCAGAGUGAGCCGGGGCCCGGGGGCUGGGGGUCGGUGGCCUUAACCAAGCUGCCACAAGCCCAUUUCAGGUGCCAGGUCCCCAGCAGGGCAGUGUGCGUCCCAGACCCCGCGACGGGCACCACAGCAAGAGGAGGGCUUCCAUGCCUGCGAUGGAACCGAGGGAGGGGCUGGCGGGCCAGGGGCUGGGCUGGCAGGAACCACCCACUGCGAGGAGGACAGGCAGUCUGUGAGGGCUGCCUGGAGGAAGAGGACCCUGGGCCAUGCAGGAGAAGUGCAAACCGAAAGUGUCAGAUUAACUUAACAGAACAAGCUGCCGUGCACCACGGGUCCCUGCCCGUUGGCACCACGGCAUUCCCUGUCCACCGAGACAGCGGCCACCGCCGCCCCAGCCCUGCCCUGGACCCCUCUGGGGCCAGAGGGGAAGGCCCAGUUUUAGGACAGCAGCUGAGCCUUCCGGAGCACAGCUCCUCGCCUCUGAGACAGGGCUGGCGGCAGGCUGGGGCUCUGUGCGGUCACCCCAGGUCAACAGGCGUCAGAUCCCGGCCCCUCACUGCGCCGCCUCCUGCCCAGGAGACAAGGUGGAGCUGGGGGCCGGGCAGCACCACCGGCCACCCUGCUUCUGCCACCUCGGGUCCCCAGGGUGCAGAGACUGCGGGGGGGGCACCACGAUCACGCCGCCUCACCCCCAGGUCCCUUCACACCCUGCGUCACCCCAGGCCCCCCGAUUCCCACCCCAGCCCGGUGGGGCUGCAGCCCACUGUUCUGCUUCCUUUUCCUGAGACACAGUGCCAGUGCCCAGCCCAAGGGUCACUCCUGCCCCAGGAUGGGUUGGUGAGCCCGGGGGGCUGGCGCAGAUCAGGAGUGGGCAGAGGAGGAGACCCCAGCCCCCGGGCCCCCCGAGUGCAGCGCCUGGAGCCUCCAGCAGCUAUGCAGGUGUGCCUGGGCAGGGUCUGCCGGUCGCUGCCUCGCUCACGGCCAGCACGCUGGACAGCUGUCUCCUGCCUUUACCCAGCAGACCCCUCCCCUCACAGCCCUGGAGGUCAAGGUACCACCCCACAGAGCGGGGCUCAAGCAGGCGGCCCCCCUGCCCCGAGGCUCUGCUGCAGGGAACACAACCCUGCUGCGGUUCAGAAGAGCCAGUGCCCGCGACGGGACCAGCCAGGGCCAGCGCCACCGACCCCAUCUCCCGGGGAGCUUCCCACCUCCGCCAGCUCCAGGGACAUGGCUGGGCUGAGACCUCCAUGCUGCCGGCGGCCACAGGGGGACCAGCCCUGGGCAGGCGAGCUGGUGCACCCAGCGGCUUCCCCGUGUCCCUGGGGGUGA